This 388-nucleotide long non-coding RNA is filed under the name Nicotiana benthamiana. Its description in RNAcentral is "long non-coding RNA (NBEN_LNC015452)". The record is from RNAcentral. Lineage: Eukaryota; Viridiplantae; Streptophyta; Magnoliopsida; Solanales; Solanaceae.
UUAAGAGCAGCUUAUUAUCACACCAAAAUAAAGUAAAUGAAACAGAAACACACCGAAAAAUGACCACAAACAAAACAGGGACUCGACGACCGUGAACGUCUUCAAGGCCCAACUCCGAAGAACUUUCUAAACAAGCUUUAGAAUGGACUCCAUGAAUUUGAAACUAGAAACCUAAAUAGAAACCAAAGAGAAGAAACAGAAACUUUUCUGUUUUUCUUUUUUGGAUUAAAAAUUUCCCUGUGAUGGUGUUGCUGCUGGGUGAGAGAUGGCGACGGGGUUGGGGGUGGUUUUUCCGAUGAUGGAUGCUGAGAAUGGGGUGAGGGAGACGAUCUUCAGAAGGGUGGGUCUCUUUUUGUUUUCAGCCGCAGCUUUUUUCAGUCCCUAGCUC